CCGACCUCAGAUGAUCCACCCCCUUCGGCCUCCCAAAGUGCUGGGAUUACAUGGUAAGCCACCGCGCCCAGCCUCUAUGCUUUCUUUCAAAGGGUACAUACAAUGCAUAGGAUUUGGAGAGGUGGGGAAGUGUGGAGAGAGAAGGUGUUUUUAAGAAUUUGGCAUGGAAGGACAAGCACACCUUAAUCCUCUUCCAGGCUCAACCAAAUUCCAUUCUGAAGUGUUUAAAAGCAAAGCUUUGGAAUCAGACACACCCAGGACACCAUAUGGAAACUCUUGCACAGUGCUGGGCCCAGAGGACUGCCUCUUCCCAGCUUUGGAAUCAAUUCCCUGGGACUCCUGGGAGACCAGCACCUGACGGUCAGAUAGCUUAUGAGGAGAUUUGGCCCACAGAGACCAUAAGUGCCCUCAAGCAACAAGAAAGGUGCACCCA
RNAcentral lists this long non-coding RNA (433 nucleotides) under Homo sapiens (human). Its description in RNAcentral is "novel transcript". Lineage: Eukaryota; Metazoa; Chordata; Mammalia; Primates; Hominidae. The record is from RNAcentral.